UUUCCGUAGGUGAACCUGCGGAAGGAUCAUUACCUAGAGUUGUAGGCUUUGCCUGCUAUCUCUUACCCAUGUCUUUUGAGUACCUUCGUUUCCUCGGCGGGUUCGCCCGCCGAUUGGACAAUUUAAACCCCUUGUAGUUGCAAUCAGCGUCUGAAAAAACAUAAUAAUUACAACUUUCAACAACGGAUCUCUUGGUUCUGGCAUCGAUGAAGAACGCAGC
Molecule: unclassified non-coding RNA, 220 nt
Filed under: uncultured fungus
Lineage: Eukaryota; Fungi
Description: sequence contains ITS1, 5.8S rRNA gene
Rfam family: 5.8S ribosomal RNA (bases 172-220)
Source: RNAcentral